CCCUCGGAAGCUGCUAGGCGGAAGUAGACGUUCAGAAGAGGUCUAGGCGGGGCCGAGCGCACAUCCGGGAGAGGAAAGGAGAGCGGAAGUGGCGUUGAUCUGGCCGGAGCCCUUGGGUGAAAUUGUUAGGCGUGGAGAGGGAGUGAUGUCUUCCAGACUUGGUGCAGUACCCGCUACUCCGGGACCCACAUCCUUUAAGCAGCAGAGGAGCUCGAGGAUCGUGGGAGCUAAGAAUAGCAGGACCCAGUGCUCCAUAAAGGAUAAUAGUUUCCAGUACACUAUCCCUCAUGAUGACUCCUUAAGUGGCUCAUCAUCUGCCUCCUCAUGUGAACCAGUGAGUGAUUUUCCAGCAUCCUUCCGAAAAUCUACCUACUGGAUGAAGAUGAGAAGGAUCAAGCCAGCUGCUACUUCUCAUGUUGAAGGGUCAGGUGGAGUAUCAACCAAAGGAAAAAGGAAACCCAGGCAGGAAGAAGAUGAAGACUACCGAGAAUUUCCUCAGAAGAAGCAUAAGCUUUAUGGGAGGAAGCAACGGCCUAAAACUCAGCCCAAUCCCAAAUCCCAGGCUCGUCGUAUUCGGAAGGAACCACCAGUUUAUGCAGCAGGCAGUUUGGAGGAGCAGUGGUACUUAGAAAUCGUGGAUAAAGGCAGUGUCUCCUGCCCUACCUGCCAGGCAGUGGGGAGGAAGACCAUAGAGGGUUUAAAGAAACACAUGGAAAACUGCAAACAGGAAAUGUUUACUUGUCAUCAUUGUGGGAAACAACUUCGUUCACUGGCAGGGAUGAAGUAUCAUGUCAUGGCAAAUCAUAAUAGUUUGUCCAUUCUGAAAGCUGGAGAUGAAAUAGAUGAGCCAAGUGAGAGGGAACGGCUCCGAACAGUUCUAAAGAGACUGGGAAAGCUUAGGUGCAUGCGCGAGAGUUGCUCCAGUAGCUUUACCAGCAUCAUGGGAUAUCUGUACCAUGUCAGAAAAUGUGGCAAAGGUGCUGCAGAGCUGGAGAAGAUGACCCUGAAAUGUCACCACUGUGGAAAACCAUAUAGAUCAAAGGCUGGACUUGCGUAUCACCUGAGGUCAGAACAUGGGCCUAUCUCCUUCUUUCCAGAGUCAGGACAGCCAGAGUGCUUAAAGGAGAUGAGCCUAGAGUCAAAGAGUGGGGGCCGAGUUCAGAGACGUUCUGCUAAGAUAGCUGUAUACCACCUGCAGGAGCUGGCCUCUGCUGAACUGGCCAAGGAAUGGCCUAAGCGGAAGGUGCUUCAGGACCUGGUACCAGAUGAUCGGAAGUUAAAAUAUACUCGCCCUGGGCUGCCUACCUUCAGCCAGGAAGUACUGCACAAAUGGAAGUCAGAUAUCAAGAAGUAUCAUCGUAUUCAGUGUCCUAACCAGGGUUGUGAGGCUGUCUACAGUAGUGUUUCUGGCCUCAAAGCUCACCUGGGCUCUUGUACACUGGUGUCCUACAACCCACCAGCCAUGGGAAUUGCUGCCACUUUCCAAUUCCAUUCAGAAGUAUCUCCUCACACAAAAUGAGCACCAUGGAAACCUGAAGCUUCAGGAGGGGAGAUAAGUCUCAGUUCAAGGCAACAAGGGAGUUGUAGGCAUCUAAACCAGAUCUGUCCAGGAAUGCUUAGGAGUUUGUCAUCUUGAUCCUAGUUUCUGAGUCCUUAAACUAGGUAUUAUGGAUGGUACUCUUCUAAUUCUGGAUUUCCAAGGCGCUCUUUGCAACAGUGGAUCAUAGUGGGAAGAACUGCACAUUGUACCUCUGGUGAACUUUGGGAGUUUGAUCAUUUUGGGGGAGGAACCAAGAGAAUGUGAAAAUGAAGUGAAAGGAACAUGGGAAGGUAGAAGACCGUAGCAUGGUAUAUAAUAAGAGCAGGAGAAUGUCAGGUUGUGUUGAAGGUGGGGUGGGUGUUUGGUAUAGAAUUGCAUUAGGAUAGACAGAUCCUGGUGAUAGUCAGUUCAAACUGGUUUUCCUAAAUCUAUUGCUGUUUUGGAUCUUCCUUCUUAUCUUCGCUGAAGUAGAAUUCCGUCUUUUCAUCCCUGACAAUCCCUGCACAUGGCCCAGAUAACGUGUUCCUGAAUUUACCAAUAAUCCUCUUUUGUUUCUCUCUUGGAAAUAGGGAAACUUUGUGGCUGGAAAGUACAAGUGUCUUCUAUGUCAGAAAGAAUUUGUGUCAGAGAGUGGUGUCAAGUAUCACAUCAACUCUGUCCAUGCUGAGGAUUGGUUUGUUGUAAACCCAACAACAACCAAAAGCUUUGAAAAGUUGAUGAAGAUAAAGCAGCGGCAGCAAGAAGAAGAAAAGCGGAGGCAGCAGCACAGGAGCAGAAGGUCUCUAAGAAGGCGGCAGCAGCCUGGCAUUGAGCUUCCUGAGACAGAGCUGAGUCUUAGAGUAGGGAAGGAUCAGAGGAGGAAUAAUGAGGAACUGGUAGUGUCCUCCUGUAAGGAACCAGAGCAGGAGCCAGUGCCAGCACAGUUCCAGAAAGUAAAGCCCCCAAAGACUAAUCAUAAACGAGGAAGGAAAUAGGCAGUCAGUGUGAAAGCGCUCCUAGGAGAGCGGAUGUGAUGCUGUUGUCACGGGGACAUGUGCUGGGAGGACUGAGUCAUGGGGCUGAGUGAAGAUUCUUUCAGCUGUUUGUGUAAGGCUGGGACUUUCUCAGUUCCUUCCUCCUGUGUAAAUUUCACUGUCUUCCCUUCUUAUUCACUUUCAUUCCCCUGUCCCCUUUCAGUAGGUUUUCCUGCUAUUCCUCAUUGGAGUCCUCUUAUUUUUCCUCUUAUCUUGCCCAAAGAGUUCCCUCUUAAGGCCAACUAUAGGCCCCUCUUGCCCUGUAUAAGACUAAGAAACCUGUUUGGUUGUUCUUUCCUUCCUGGGGUAUAGAAUGUUCUUGGAAGAUCCAUUGAUUUAGUAGCUACUCUAUCAUCUAGCUUAUAAAACCAUUCCAAACUAAUUUUUAAAACCAUAACUGAUUUAUCAUUUUGUAUUUGUGAUAUAACAAGCCUAGAAGCUAGAACUGUUGUCAUUUAUGUAAUAUGGUUCCCGUGUCUCCUUGGGAAGCAAACUUUAUGGAGGCUAUUUGUCUUCUCAAUAUGGUUUUAGGAUUGAAAGUAAGAAAAUGGACUUAAGAUGAAAAAUCUAGAACCUCCCUACACUGGUUAUACUGAGAAAUGCUGUUUGUACCAAGUAGCAGUGACUAGAUCUACAGACAUGCAACCUUAGGAGUAAUGUGUCCCAUUAAAAUGACUGGAAAGAAAAGGUAGAAGCAGCAAUAAAUACUGCCCCAACUUUCCUGAGGCCUCAUCCAUUACCACGAUCAGUACCCUCCUGAAGUUUACUUUUGCUCCCUUGGUUUUAAGGAUUGAGAAAUAAUAGCAUUGCCCCUGAUGCUUUGACAUGGUCUCCUAGUGCUCCUGGUAAUGCCACUAAGAUUGGAAACCAAGGUGCACAUUCCUUCCCCACUGGACUUUACUUCACUUGUUAGUCUGCACCCCAGUAAGUCCUCAUCAAUCCCUUUAGCCAACCUCUGUCUCUUUGAAUUUUCUGAGAAUGUUGUCCUUCUAUCCUCUUUUAUAUAUGGAGUUCUAUCCUCUUUAUAUCCUGAGACUUUGACACCAGAUGUAGAUAUUUAUCUGGAGCUGGAAAGGAAAAUUCUUUUUCCAUACCUCAUGCCUACCUGGUAAUGUUUAAUGGGCUAUUUCUCUUUGAGGGUUGCUUUCUCUGGAGCAUUGGUUAGAGCAGCUUUGUUGUCAUGUUUCUGGAUUCUCUUCCCCCUUUUGCAUAAAUAUUGGUCUUAUAUAUUCUUGCCUAUCUUGUGGCAUAUGUCAUACAAAAAAUUAACUCUGAUAAGGACAAGUACUACCUUUUCAAAUUCUGAAAGGCUAUUCAACUCUUUCUCUUUUCUCUGUGCUCCUCCAAAUAGCUUUAAAAUGCAGGCUUUUGUGAAGACCACUUUCCAACAAGGGAGCACUGAAACCUGAUUUGGAUACUGCCAGGAUAGGUAGCAAAGGACAUGGCAUAUCCACUCUAUGUUUUCAUUGGCAGUGUACCCUUAAAGCCCUUUUGGUAGAUGAGGGUUGUUAGGGAGGAGAAAUGAAGAAGCUAUGUUAAUUUCUGGUGAGUAAGAACUGGGGAAUGUUUGGCAAUGACAAAAGAAAUAAAUGACUCUCAGUUAGAAUGA
This is an RNA transcript of Microcebus murinus (gray mouse lemur), 4162 nucleotides long. It is a transcript of the gene named zinc finger protein 512, with no coding region annotated. The record is from RefSeq and is a predicted model, not a curated record. Lineage: Eukaryota; Metazoa; Chordata; Mammalia; Primates; Cheirogaleidae.